This 1080-nucleotide ribosomal RNA is filed under the name Burkholderia cenocepacia. RNAcentral's name for it is "bacterial LSU rRNA". It matches the Rfam family "Bacterial large subunit ribosomal RNA", at positions 1848 to 2925 of the family's 2925-position model. Lineage: Bacteria; Pseudomonadati; Pseudomonadota; Betaproteobacteria; Burkholderiales; Burkholderiaceae. The record is from RNAcentral.
GGGUGUGACGCCUGCCCGGUGCCGGAAGAUUAAAUGAUGGGGUGCAAGCUCUUGAUUGAAGUCCCGGUAAACGGCGGCCGUAACUAUAACGGUCCUAAGGUAGCGAAAUUCCUUGUCGGGUAAGUUCCGACCUGCACGAAUGGCGUAACGAUGGCCACACUGUCUCCUCCCGAGACUCAGCGAAGUUGAAGUGUUUGUGAUGAUGCAAUCUACCCGCGGCUAGACGGAAAGACCCCAUGAACCUUUACUGUAGCUUUGCAUUGGACUUUGAACCGAUCUGUGUAGGAUAGGUGGGAGGCUAUGAAACCGGAACGCUAGUUUCGGUGGAGCCGUCCUUGAAAUACCACCCUGGUUUGUUUGAGGUUCUAACCUUGGCCCGUGAUCCGGGUCGGGGACAGUGCAUGGUAGGCAGUUUGACUGGGGCGGUCUCCUCCCAAAGCGUAACGGAGGAGUACGAAGGUACGCUAGGUACGGUCGGAAAUCGUGCUGAUAGUGCAAUGGCAUAAGCGUGCUUAACUGCGAGACCGACAAGUCGAGCAGGUGCGAAAGCAGGUCAUAGUGAUCCGGUGGUUCUGUAUGGAAGGGCCAUCGCUCAACGGAUAAAAGGUACUCUGGGGAUAACAGGCUGAUACCGCCCAAGAGUUCAUAUCGACGGCGGUGUUUGGCACCUCGAUGUCGGCUCAUCUCAUCCUGGGGCUGUAGCCGGUCCCAAGGGUAUGGCUGUUCGCCAUUUAAAGAGGUACGUGAGCUGGGUUUAAAACGUCGUGAGACAGUUUGGUCCCUAUCUGCCGUGGGCGUUGGAUAUUUGAAGGGGGCUGCUCCUAGUACGAGAGGACCGGAGUGGACGAACCUCUGGUGUACCGGUUGUCACGCCAGUGGCAUCGCCGGGUAGCUAUGUUCGGAAGAGAUAACCGCUGAAAGCAUCUAAGCGGGAAACUCGCCUUAAGAUGAGAUAUCCCUGGGGACUAGAUCCCCUUGAAGGGUCGUUCGAGACCAGGACGUUGAUAGGUCAGGUGUGUAAGCGCAGUAAUGCGUUCAGCUAACUGAUACUAAUUGCCCGUAAGGCUUGAUCCUAUAACA